AGCAGUCGCCGCGGUAAUACGGAGGGUGCAAGCGUUAAUCGGAAUUACUGGGCGUAAAGCGCACGCAGGCGGUCUGACAAGUCAGAUGUGAAAUCCCCGGGCUUAACCUGGGAACUGCAUUUGAAACUGUCAGGCUGGAGUCUUGUAGAGGGGGGUAGAAUUCCAGGUGUAGCGGUGAAAUGCGUAGAGAUCUGGAGGAAUACCGGUGGCGAAGGCGGCCCCCUGGACAAAGACUGACGCUCAGGUGCGAAAGCGUGGGGAGCAAACAGGAUUAGAUACCCGCGUAGUCCCUGUCUCUUAUAC
RNAcentral lists this ribosomal RNA (303 nucleotides) under uncultured bacterium. Its description in RNAcentral is "partial 16S ribosomal RNA". It matches the Rfam family "Bacterial small subunit ribosomal RNA", at positions 507 to 807 of the family's 1533-position model. The record is from RNAcentral.